GAGGAAUAUUGCACAAUGGGCGACAGCCUGAUGCAGCAACGCCGCGUGCGGGACGAAGGCCUUCGGGUCGUAAACCGCUUUUCUGGGGGACGAGCAAGGACGGUACCUCAGGAAUAAGUCUCGGCUAACUACGUGCCAGCAGCCGCGGUAAAACGUAGGAGGCGAGCGUUAUCCGGAUUUACUGGGCGUAAAGCGCACGCAGGCGGCCGGGCCAGUCGGACGUGAAAGCUCCCGGCUUAACUGGGAGAGGUCGUUCGAUACUGCUCGGCUUGAGGUUGGGAGAGGGGUGCGGAAUUCCCGGUGUAGUGGUGGAAUGCGUAGAUAUCGGGAGGAACACCAGUGGCGAAGGCGGCACCCUGGCCCACACCUGACGCUGAGGUGCGAAAGCGUGGGGAGCAAAC
Molecule: ribosomal RNA, 401 nt
Filed under: uncultured bacterium
Lineage: Bacteria
Description: bacterial SSU rRNA
Rfam family: Bacterial small subunit ribosomal RNA
Source: RNAcentral